This 21-nucleotide microRNA is filed under the name Vitis vinifera (wine grape). RNAcentral's name for it is "vvi-miR3631b-3p". Lineage: Eukaryota; Viridiplantae; Streptophyta; Magnoliopsida; Vitales; Vitaceae. The record is from miRBase by way of RNAcentral.
UGUUGGAUGAUGUCAAUAAGU